ACUCGUAGAAAUAUCACCAGCUCCUUAUACUCGAAAAUUGGAAGAACGCGGGAAUAAUAAGCAGCAAUAAUAAGCAGCAACAGCAGCAGUAACAGCAACAGCAGCAGCAGCAGCAGCAGUAAUAGUAGUAGUAGUAAUAGUGUAGUAGCAGUAGUAGUAGUAGUAGUAGUAGUAGUAGUAACAACAGUAACAAACACCGAAUCAACAGAACGUGUAAGCAACACGAUUCGCGCUGACAACCGCGUCAGAACGCCCGUCAAAACGAGCCGACGUAUUAUAUGUUUUCUUGGAGUAUUCUUUUAAAAGCAGCGUGCGUCUAACGCGCGCGUCAUAACUUCUCUCUCUCGCUCUCUCUCUCUCUCUCACACUCACUCGCACACUCUUUUUCUUUCUCGCUCUCUCUCUAUCUAUCUAUCCAUCUAUCUAUUUAUCUAUCUAUCUAUCUAUCUCUUGUCUCUCGACGUAUCACGCUCCCUCUGCUGCGUGGUCGUUCGUUCUUUCGCUCCUUCGUUCGUUCGUUCGUUCGUUCGUUCGUUCGUUUGUAAGUACGUACGUACAUACGUUCGGUCGGUCUGUCGGUUAUAUCGUCGUCGUUGUCGUCGCUGCUGUCGUUGUCGUCGUCGUCAUCAUCGGAGAAGCGUACAUAGCGGCCGCCGCCGUACGGGACGCCACCGCCGGGAGAGAGCCAACGGGCGUGGACUGGAGCGAUACAUCGACGCGUUUCACCCGUUACGCGGGCACUUUGUCAUCGCUCGACUGUAUUUAAAUUAACUGACAGAUAAAUUGACCGGAAAGAGAAACGACCGAAGCAGCUUUUACUCGUUCAACGUAAUUUCCACGAAUCAAGGAUGAAUCGUGGAAAUGAACUAAGAGCCGAAUAAAAACAAAAAUGGGGGUUGACACGCGUCUCGCUUGAAUCACGUUGGAUCGAAGCGACGGGGCGACGAUGAUGCGACGACGAGGCGACGACGGGACGACAGCGGUGAUGGCGGGGGCGGCGGCGGCGGCGUCGGUGGAGUCGGCGAUGGCAGCGGCAGGUUCCUUUUGUACGCUCGAUCCAUUGUACUCGACAAACACCACGAACGAAUAAACACCGUGCUGCAUUUUCUCUGCGCGUGAAAAUGCGCUUCCUUGCUCGUAUAGUCCUCGAAAAAAUCCUCGUAAGUUUUUCUUACGAUUUUCCGAACUAUUAAAGCGAAUAAUCCAAUGCGAUCGUGAAACUUGUUAAAAAAAAAAAAAAAAAAAAAGAAAAAAAAGAAGGAAAAACCUUUUCUUUCCAUACCCCUUUUAAAUUGCGCCCAACUCGAAAAUUCUUUUUUUAAUUUUGUCCUUCGAAGGUAUUAAUAUUUUCCCGGAAUUUCUACUUAAUUUUACGAUGAUAAAACUCUAAAAAUCGCAUAUAAAAAGAAUAUUAAUAUUAAUAUUAUUAUUAUUAUUA
Molecule: long non-coding RNA, 1438 nt
Organism: Vespa crabro (European hornet)
Lineage: Eukaryota; Metazoa; Arthropoda; Insecta; Hymenoptera; Vespidae
Exons: 4
Source: RefSeq, a predicted model, not a curated record